This 429-nucleotide ribosomal RNA is filed under the name Chloroflexota bacterium. Its description in RNAcentral is "Chloroflexi bacterium partial 16S ribosomal RNA". It matches the Rfam family "Bacterial small subunit ribosomal RNA", at positions 355 to 776 of the family's 1533-position model. Lineage: Bacteria; Bacillati; Chloroflexota. The record is from RNAcentral.
UGGGGAAUAUUGCACAAUGGGCGCAAGCCUGAUGCAGCCAUGCCGCGUGUAUGAAGAAGGCCUUCGGGUUGUAAAGUACUUUCAGCGGGGAGGAAGGGAGUAAAGUUAAUACCUUUGCUCAUUGACGUUACCCGCAGAAGAAGCACCGGCUAACUCCGUGCCAGCAGCCGCGGUAAUACGGAGGGUGCAAGCGUUAAUCGGAAUUACUGGGCGUAAAGCGCACGCAGGCGGUUUGUUAAGUCAGAUGUGAAAUCCCCGGGCUCAACCUGGGAACUGCAUCUGAUACUGGCAAGCUUGAGUGUCGUAGAGGGGGGUAGAAUUCCAGGUGAAGCGGUGAAAUGCGUAGAGAUCUGGAGGAAUACCGGUGGCGAAGGCGGCCCCCUGGACGAAGACUGACGCUCAGGUGCGAAAGCGUGGGGAGCAAACAGG